AUAUCAGAAGGCACACCCGGAGAACUGAAACAUCUUAGUACCCGGAGGAAGAGAAAGAAAAUUCGAUUCCCUUAGUAGCGGCGAGCGAAAUGGGAAGAGCCCAAACCAACAAGCUUGCUUGUUGGGGUUGUAGGACACUCUAUACGGAGUUACAAAGGACGACAUUAGACGAAUCAUCUGGAAAGAUGAAUCAAAGAAGGUAAUAAUCCUGUAGUCGA
Molecule: ribosomal RNA, 218 nt
Filed under: Staphylococcus aureus
Lineage: Bacteria; Bacillati; Bacillota; Bacilli; Caryophanales; Staphylococcaceae
Description: partial 23S ribosomal RNA
Rfam family: Bacterial large subunit ribosomal RNA
Source: RNAcentral